RNAcentral lists this ribosomal RNA (427 nucleotides) under uncultured bacterium. Its description in RNAcentral is "partial 16S ribosomal RNA". It matches the Rfam family "Bacterial small subunit ribosomal RNA", at positions 355 to 774 of the family's 1533-position model. The record is from RNAcentral.
UGGGGAAUAUUGCACAAUGGGCGCAAGCCUGAUGCAGCCAUGCCGCGUGUAUGAAGAAGGCCUUCGGGUUGUAAAGUACUUUCAGCGGGGAGGAAGGCGAUAAGGUUAAUAACCUUGUCGAUUGACGUUACCCGCAGAAGAAGCACCGGCUAACUCCGUGCCAGCAGCCGCGGUAAUACGGAGGGUGCACGCGUUAAUCGGAAUUACUGGGCGUAAAGCGCACGCAGGCGGUCUGUCAAGUCGGAUGUGAAAUCCCCGGGCUCAACCUGGGAACUGCAUUCGAAACUGGCAGGCUAGAGUCUUGUAGAGGGGGGUAGAAUUCCAGGUGUAGCGGUGAAAUGCGUAGAGAUCUGGAGGAAUACCGGUGGCGAAGGCGGCCCCCUGGACAAAGACUGACGCUCAGGUGCGAAAGCGUGGGGAGCAAACA